AUGGGGGCCCGGAGGCUUCCCCUCCUGUUUCCCCAUUCUUUGGGCAUUGUGGGAGCCCCAGGCGACGGGGUCCUGACCCAUGGGUUUGGGCUGCUCGGGGCAGGAUGGCAGAGACUUUCCGGGUCCCUCGCUUCUAACCCAGUCGACCCAGGCUCCUCACGCUUCCCCCGGGCCUUGGGAGGUAGUGGAGGAAGAGGAACUGAAGCAGCCCAUGGGGGGCGUACGAGAGAUAAGGUGGCAUUUGGAGGCUCCCCCAUUCCUGGGACCCCCCCACUGACCCACCCCCAGGCCCAUGGAGUGUUCUCCUUCUGGUCCUCCCUUCUGGCUUUCAGCCCUUCUCCCAGAGGCCUUCGCCAGACGGCCCCUUCCGGACCUUCUCCCGGGCUGCCUCCUUUUGGGCAAUCUCUCUGCUCCUACACGUGCAGCCGUUGGCCCAUUGUCCUCCCGUUAGACUGGAGGCUGCAGGGCAGGGCCGCUCGUGCCAUUCUGCCCCCAGACCCUGUCAGCACAGGGUGGGCACAAAUGCCUGCCAACUGGCCAAGGGGCCCGAGGCAAGGUCACCCUGCCAGCCUCAGUUUCCCCAGCUCUCCAGGGCUCCCGGUCCUUCCACUCCUAGAGCGGGGAAGUCCUUUCACAUCCUACCCCGGGACUCGGGCUGCUCCUUGGCCAGGGAGCCCCCCAGCAGGGGGCCAGGGAGGGAAGGGAGUGAGCCCUCAGUGGAGGCCGGAAUCCCAGGGUGGCCGGUGCUGCUCGGCCCCAAAACUUUGGUGGGGUUCCAAUGGACAUUUUAAUGCUAAUUGGGAGGGAGCUCCCCAGCUGUGGGGGAGGGCCUCUGUCCUUCUCCCACCCCAUCUCCCCCUUCUGUGUUCCCCCUCCCCCUCCUCUCCUCCUGUGUUCCCCCUCCCCCUCCUCUCCUCCUGUGUUCCCCCUCCCCCCUCUCUCCUUAACAGCAACCCCACCCCCACCCCCCCACCCCCACCCCCACCCCCACUGCAUCUCCAGGAGCUCUCUGACCUGCACCUCAGGCCCGGGUCACCGGCAUCCCCUGCCCCAGAUGCCCCCCCAAGGCCCAUGGGGGGUGGGGGCGACAGGGGUGGGUUGGGCGAUUCUCGUGGUCGAAUUUCCUGUGAUUAA
This 1134-nucleotide long non-coding RNA is filed under the name Sarcophilus harrisii (Tasmanian devil). Its description in RNAcentral is "lncRNA (ENSSHAG00000027875.1)". The record is from RNAcentral. Lineage: Eukaryota; Metazoa; Chordata; Mammalia; Dasyuromorphia; Dasyuridae.